This 67-nucleotide transfer RNA is filed under the name Cicadella viridis. RNAcentral describes it as "tRNA-Gln". Lineage: Eukaryota; Metazoa; Arthropoda; Insecta; Hemiptera; Cicadellidae. The record is from RNAcentral.
UGUAAAUUAGUGUAUGAAGCACAUAAAAUUUUGAUUUUUAUAGAAAAGUUUAAUUCUUUAUUUACAG